RNAcentral lists this transfer RNA (73 nucleotides) under Anaerolineales bacterium. RNAcentral describes it as "tRNA-Arg". It matches the Rfam family "tRNA". From Rfam's summary of the family: Transfer RNA (tRNA) molecules are approximately 80 nucleotides in length. Their secondary structure includes four short double-helical elements and three loops (D, anti-codon, and T loops). The record is from RNAcentral. RNAcentral also lists the same sequence under 2 other names. Lineage: Bacteria; Bacillati; Chloroflexota; Anaerolineae; Anaerolineales.
GCCUCAGUAGCUCAAUGGAUAGAGCGCUUGACUUCGGAUCAAGAGGUUCCGGGUUCGACCCCUGGCUGGGGCG